UGGCGGACGGGUGAGUAACGCGUGGGUAACCUGCCAUAUACAGGGGGAUAACACUUAGAAAUAGGUGCUAAUACCGCAUAAGCGCACAUGGCCGCAUGGCCAGGUGUGAAAAACUCCGGUGGUAUAUGAUGGACCCGCGUCUGAUUAGCUAGUUGGUGAGGUAACGGCCCACCAAGGCGACGAUCAGUAGCCGGCCUGAGAGGGUGGACGGCCACAUUGGGACUGAGACACGGCCCAAACUCCUACGGGAGGCAGCAGUGGGGAAUAUUGCACAAUGGGGGAAACCCUGAUGCAGCGACGCCGCGUGAGUGAAGAAGUAUUUCGGUACGUAAAGCUCUAUCAGCAGGGAAGAAAAUGACGGUACCUGACUAAGAAGCCCCGGCUAACUACGUGCCAGCAGCCGCGGUAAUACGUAGGGGGCAAGCGUUAUCCGGAUUUACUGGGUGUAAAGGGAGCGUAGACGGCAGCGCAAGUCUGGAGUGAAAUGCCGGGGCUCAACCCCGGAACUGCUUUGGAAACUGUGCAGCUUGAGUGCGGGAGAGGUAAGUGGAAUUCCUAGUGCAGCGGUGAAAUGCGUAGAUAUUAGGAAGAACACCAGUGGCGAAGGCGGAUUACUGGACGAUAACUGACGGUGAGGCGCGAAAGCGUGGGGAGCAAACAGGAUUAGAUACCCUGGUAGUCCACGCUGUAAACGAUCAAUACUAGGUGUGCGGGGACUGACCCCCUGCGUGCCGGAGUUAACACAAUAAGUAUUGCACCUGGGGAGUACGAUCGCAAGGUUGAAACUCAAAGGAAUUGACG
RNAcentral lists this ribosomal RNA (801 nucleotides) under uncultured bacterium. RNAcentral's name for it is "bacterial SSU rRNA". It matches the Rfam family "Bacterial small subunit ribosomal RNA", at positions 96 to 915 of the family's 1533-position model. The record is from RNAcentral.